Molecule: small RNA, 40 nt
Filed under: Arabidopsis thaliana (thale cress)
Lineage: Eukaryota; Viridiplantae; Streptophyta; Magnoliopsida; Brassicales; Brassicaceae
Description: ATSL075820
Source: RNAcentral
AAAGAAGAAGGAAAAAAAUAGAGUAAAAGAGACAUAAAUU